UACGUAGGUGGCGAGCGUUGUCCGGAUUUACUGGGCGUAAAGGGCGUGCAGGCGGUUUGUUAAGUGCAGGGUGAAAGCUCCCGGCUCAACUGGGAGAGGUCCUUGCAUACUGGCGAACUCGAGGGAGGCAGAGGAAAGUGGAAUUCCCGGUGUAGUGGUGAUAUGUGUAGAGAUCGGGAGGAACACCGGUGGCGAAGGCGGUCUUCUGGACGGUGACUGACGCUGAGGCGCGAAAGCGUGGGGAGCAAACGGG
Molecule: ribosomal RNA, 253 nt
Filed under: uncultured bacterium
Lineage: Bacteria
Description: partial 16S ribosomal RNA
Rfam family: Bacterial small subunit ribosomal RNA
Source: RNAcentral